Non-coding RNA from Mus caroli (Ryukyu mouse), 297 nucleotides. NCBI's taxonomy places the organism in Eukaryota, Metazoa, Chordata, Mammalia, Rodentia, Muridae. The record is from RefSeq and is a predicted model, not a curated record.
GCACUCUGCUGCUCCUGGGACAGCUCCAGGUGGAGGUGGAGAAUUUUGUCCUCCGAGNGGCUGCAGAGUUCUCCUCCAGGAAGGAGCACCUUGUGUUUCUGACCAACAACUAUGACAUGAUGCUCGUGGUGCUGAUGGAGCAGGCUGCUGAUGACAGCAAAGAGGUGGAGAGUUUCCAGCAGCUGCUCAAUGCUCGGACACAGGAGUUCAUUGAGGAGUUGCUGUCUCCCCCCUUUGGGGGUCUGGUGGCAUUUGUGAAAGAGGCUUAAGCCUUGAUUGAGCGUGGGCAGGAUGAGC